AUAAUAAUUUGCCUCUUAAUUAGAGGCUUGUAUGAAGGAACAUACGUGAGUACGACUGUUUCAUUUUUAUAUCUAAAAAUUAUCGUCCAGGUGAAGAGCCCUGGAUCUUAUAGAAAGACAAAAAGACCCUAUUGAGCUUUACUUAAAGCCCACCAUAAGAAUAACAUCUAAAUUUCUUUUUAUAGGCCUAGGUUCUGUUGGGGCGACAAAAGAAGAUCUAAAUCCUCUUUCUUUAAUCAGGCAACAAGCCUCUUAUAAUUGAUCCAAACUCCUUGAUCAUCGAAUCUAGCUACCCUAGGGAUAACAGGCUAAUUUUCUUUGAGAGCCCAUAUUGACAAGAAAGAUUGGCACCUCGAUGU
This 359-nucleotide ribosomal RNA is filed under the name Scolelepis sp. GF-14975_22281. RNAcentral's name for it is "partial large subunit ribosomal RNA". It matches the Rfam family "Bacterial large subunit ribosomal RNA", at positions 1956 to 2532 of the family's 2925-position model. Lineage: Eukaryota; Metazoa; Annelida; Polychaeta; Spionida; Spionidae. The record is from RNAcentral.